Harmonia axyridis is the source of this 311-nucleotide long non-coding RNA. RefSeq lists it as uncharacterized. NCBI's taxonomy places the organism in Eukaryota, Metazoa, Arthropoda, Insecta, Coleoptera, Coccinellidae. The transcript has 2 exons. The record is from RefSeq and is a predicted model, not a curated record.
UAAUGCAUUUCCUUUCUGAAGAUAUAAAGUUCGGAAAGAUUCAAUACAAUUCCGAAUAGAAGAAGAAUAUUCCUAAACCAAAAAUCAUGGAAAACUUAUUUUCCUAUUUGAGUGUUUUUAUGAUCAUGUUUAUGCUUUUACAGACAGGAAUACGAUCACAGCAAACUAUUCACUACAAGAGACCAUAUCAGCAUAGAUUACAACUUCCACCGCAUCACAUUGCCAAUAUGUUAAAAAAAUAAAUGUAAGAUCUUUGGGUGUUUAUAUGUAUUAUUGUUCACCUACCAGUAAAAUAAAUAACUUUUCUUGUA